AACGCACAUUGCGCCCUUUGGUAUUCCGAAGGGCAUGCCUGUUCGAGCGUCAUUGCAAACCCUCAAGCGCAGCUUGGUCUUUGGGCGUCGGUCCGGCGAGGACCCGCCCCGAACCCGUCGGCGGUACCGCCCGGCUCCCAGCGUAGCAAGAUUUUCCCUCGCUUCGGAGCCCGCGGCGGCGCCUGCCGGGAAAGUGACGUACCCGUAGUUUGACCUCGGAUCAGGUAGGGAUACCCGCUGAACUUAA
This 247-nucleotide unclassified non-coding RNA is filed under the name uncultured fungus. RNAcentral describes it as "partial contains 5.8S ribosomal RNA, internal transcribed spacer 2, and large subunit ribosomal RNA". The stretch from base 1 to 52 matches the Rfam family "5.8S ribosomal RNA", at positions 103 to 154 of the family's 154-position model. The record is from RNAcentral. Lineage: Eukaryota; Fungi.